CACCCCUACCAGAGAACGCCGCCGAGGAAGACCAUAGGGGUACUUCCUCUGAAGAAAUUCGCCCCACCAGCCCUUCAGCAUCCAUCCCUGCACAGCCGUCAGAGAGUCCCUUGGUUCAACAAGAGGAAGCAGCAGACGACCUACAGCUGCCGGUCGUACAUUGCGACCCUCCCACCGUGCAAACGCCGCAGGUUUUGGACAGCGUUGAUCUUCAAGCGGCCGCCCUACCUGACGACCCUGCCCCCUUGCCACAGGAUACGCCGGUCACCCCUCCUUCUGCUUCACAGCAGCCAGUUGACGAUCUCCAGCAGAGCCCACACCGAAAAUCCCUCACUCCCUUUCAGGAAGAGUGGGAUGGAAAGUGGGCAGCUGCACCCGACAGGGAAACACUCUUCUCCUUGAUCGAGAGUUUCGUCAAAGGAGUUAAAAACGAGACUGGAAAACCCGACACAAGGACGAGACGCAGAGCGCCACCACCGCAAAAACCUCGGACUACCAGACCAUCGGCACCCAGCUUUGAUGCUGAGAAGGCGGCGAAGCUGCAGAGGUCCUACAACAUAAACAAAAAGCGUACUAUGCAGGAGAUAUUGGGCCAACGCUCCCCAGGCUGCACCAUCCCCAUCCAGAUGAUCGAAGAACACUUCGAGAAACGCAUGGUUGGGGACAACACCGAGUUCAGCCCCGACCCAGAUCUCCUCAAGGACUUCUCCCCCCAGGACGGAGCCCAGUUGGAGGAACCCAUCUCUUCCAACGCAGUGUGGUACCGCCUUCUCAAGAUGGGAAACACCGCUCCUGGUCCCGACGGCAUCAGCUACCAGGAACUGAAACGGGUGGACCCCAAUUCCACCAUCCUCACCCAGAUCUUCCAGGCCUGCUUCCAGAUGAGGGCGGUACCCCCUUCAUGGAAGGAAAGCUCCUCUAUCUUGCUCCACAAGAAAGGGGACGCCGACGACCUAGGGAACUGGAGGCCUAUCGCGCUGGGCAACACGAUCGCAAAGCUUUACACCGCGGUCCUGGCGGAUAGGCUCAGGAGAUGGGCAGCGACGACGGGACAGCUCUCCAAGGCGCAGAAGGGCUUCAUGGAGUUCGAGGGGUGCCUGGAACAUAAUUUCGUGGUCCAGAGUGCCAUCGAGGAGACCAAGAGAACCAGCAGACAAGCUUGCUUCACCUGGCUGGAUCUUGAAAAUGCAUUUGGCUCGGUGCCUCACGAACACAUCUUCAAUGUGUUAAAUGCAUUUGGCGUCCCUGAAAAGGUAAUCGCGGUAUUCAGGGACCUAUACACGGACUCCUCCACCUCAAUCAGGACCCCGCUGGGAACCACAUCGCCCAUCCCCUUCAAACGCGGGGUGAAGCAAUGCUGCCCUGGAAGCCCAACCCUCUUCAACGUGGCCAUAGAGGUCAUAGUCCGCACCCUCGCCUCGAAGGCAAAAGACCAUGGUGUCCGCUUACUCGAGCACUAUGUGUUGGUGCUGGCCUAUGCUGACGACCUCCUCAUCAUGGCAAAAGACAAGGAGUCUCUACAAGUGCUCCUAGACACCACCGGCGAUCUGGCGGGAAAGAUCGGACUCCACUUCAAGGGCCCCAAAUGCGCGACUCUUCACUUGGUCUGCAGGAAAAAGAGGACUACUCUGCCCACAACCUUCUGCAUCCAAGAACAGUCAAUCUCAGCGAUGAGAGAAGACGACGCAUACUGCCACCUUGGAGUACCCACCGGAUUCAACAAGACAAGGAACCCCGAGGAAGCCAUCAAGGGAAUCAAGGAGGAUACGGAAAAAAUUCACAGCAGCCUCCUCGCUCCCUGGCAGAAGAUCGACGCCACCAAGACCUACAUCUACCCAAGGCUCGACUUCAUUCUACGAGGGUCCCCGAUCCACAAGACCGCCUUCAGGGAAGUGGACCUACUGAUUAAGAGACUAGGGAAGAAAUGGCUCGGCCUGCCCCAGCGGGCCAGCAACGAGGUGCUCUACAUCCCUCCUUCCAAAGGCGGAGCAGGAAUGGUGCCGUUUGGUGACAGGACCGACUUGGCCAAGAUCCAACACGCCUUCCGGCUCCUCACGAGCCCAGACUCCGAAACCUCCGCACUCGCCAAAAGCCUUCUCAAAAGAGUCGCGGGGAGGAAACUGGGACGGCCUGCACUGGAAGAAGACCUGGCAGCGUAUCUAUCGGGGAAACUCGACGGUGAUUUCGCCAGGGAUGGUGGAGACAUCACGUCACUCUGGAGCGAUGCCAGAAACGCUUCCCGACGCCUCUCAAAAAGGAUCGGCGUUCAGUGGGUCCACAACCCAACGUUGGGAGACAUUACCAUCAAACUCCCCAACGCCGGCAGGACACCGAAAGAAAUCAGCCUUCCCGCGGUCGCUAGGGGCCAAAUCAUGGCAAGACUUCGGCAGGCCCUCCAAGACUCCUACCUGAAAACCCUAAUCAAAAAGCCUGAUCAGGGAAAGGUCUACGAGGUCACCUGUCGGAACAAGUCUUCCAAUGGCUUCAUCAACAGUGGGAGAUAUAUGCGUUUCGCCGACUGGAGGUUUAUCCACCGUUCCCGGCUUAACGUACUUCCGCUGAACGGAGCCAAAAGAUUUGGCCCUGAGGACAAGCGUUGCAGGGUUUGCGGCCAGGUGGACGAAACACUACCUCAUGUGCUUCAACACUGCCGUAAACACUCCGCUGCGGUCACCAAAAGGCACCACAACAUCGUCGAGCGGCUGAAAAAGGCUACGAGGUUGCAGGGAAGAACGAGAAUAAAUCAAAGGGUCCCUGAGGUUUCUUCUAACCUUCGUCCGGAUAUAGUGGUGACAGAAGAGGAGAAGAAGAAGAUCACCAUUAUAGACGUGGCGAUACCCUUCGAGAACCGCCUCGUGGCCUUCAAAGAUGCAAGGGAGAGAAAAAUUUCGAAAUACACUCCCCUUGCAAACGAACUUCGCGAGAAAGGGUGGGAAGUAUUCCUGGACGCCUUUCUAGUUGGCCCGCUCGGUGGCUGGGACAACGAGAAUGAAAAGGUCCUCCGGGCACUUGAUAUCUUCCACGAUAUUCCACAGUAAUGCGGAAUAUAAUGUGUGCAGAAACCAUCAAGUGGUCUAGGGAUAUCUACGUGGAGCAUAUAACCGGUCAGAAACAAUACUAACCGGUUUAUGCUCUACCCUAUAUAUGUACUCACCCUGUGUUUUUCAGGUCCAGAAGCGACAUCCCUGUGGUCCAGACCGGUUCCAGCGGACUCCUCUUCUUUCCCAAGGCCUUUUGGAGGCUAUGAGCCCCACCUACAACCGGGUCGUGGCGGUAUAACCACUCCGGGUUUGGCGGAAAUGCCUGCCCACACCGAGUCGUGGCGGUAUAACCACUCAGGGUCUGGAGGAAAUGCCAACUCGAAGAAAGAAGAGGAGGAUCUUCCCGCAAAAAGACCUUCCGCCCGGAUCCGGAGGACCAGUAGAAGACGCCCUUGUAUAUUUAAUAUUUUUUCAUUCAUUUUUUAUAAUUUUAACUUGUAUAUUUUCUUAAAAUUGUUUUUUAAUAUCUGCUAUGUUGAACAUGUAAUUUUUUGAAUUUGUUCAAUAAAAUGUUUUAAAUCUGUUCUUAUCAGCUUAAUUUGAAGCUUCCUCGAAGAACUGAAGCCUGCACCUCGACGCCCACGAGAAUCUCCAGGAACCCCACACACACUGUAAGUCGUUUUUUUUUUAAAUAUAUAUAUACCGGCCCUCUUUCUAGCAUUUGCAUUUUUUUUUCUUUAAUUUUUUUUACUACUUAGCUUACCUUAGUGCUGUCACUCUGGUUAGCAUAUUCCAUGUCUUUUGCAUAUUUGUGUUUAUAUAAGUUGUGUUAAACAACUUUUAUAAACAUAUAUCUGCAUUUUUUAUUUAUUUAUUUAUCUAUUUUUUUUCUUUGCACUCUUGUUUAUUUGCAUAUAUAUAUAUUAAUAUAUAUAUGUGAUAUCUUGGGACCUCUGGGACCAGUGUUACCUGAUGCUAGACGAACCUCGAUGUCAACUCUACCGUGCAGUCGUGGUGGAAGGCGACACAGCUGGGCCAAAGGUGAAAUAAACAAACAGAGAUUCCACUAAAAAGCGUCUGACGUCAAGAAGGAAUGGGAUGAGCGGAGAGGGAGAUCUUUAGAGCAAGUGUUACCUUGGUGAGAUCCAAGCGCAUACUGCCUAACCUAGGUUCUCGAUUUAACACCAAGACCUUUCUUCUUUCUGAUUGGUUGACCUAUUUAGGUGAUUCUUUCCUAAUUGGUGGGACUAUGUCACGUGGCCGUUGGCUAUUGGUUGACCUACUUAGGUGAUUCUCUUCUAAUUGGUCUUUGCUGCUGCCUUUGACGGAAGAUAUAUCCGGCCUGGUCAGGAAGUAUUGGGUGUCUCUCAACUUUUAUAACUUCUGCGUUCACCAGAUACGUCCGGUCCUGUCAGGAAAUAUUGGCUUAAACUUAGCUCGCAGGGUUUCCGGGGUCAGAAGGUUAACUGUGACUUUAUUAAUAACUAUGUUCUCUUCUAGAUCUACUUCCUAGGUCUUACUUCUACUCUCACCUAAGCCUGAUUAGUUUUAACCUUAAUUUUCUCCUGUUAGUCUCCAUUCCUUCUAUCUGUACAGUUGUUAUACUUUAUUAGAUUCUUACGCGGUACAGAUUGAUGUUAGUUGAGGCUUUCUAUGUGCAGUACAUAAGAAGUUAUAUACAGUCAUGGGGUGGAACAUGUGGUAGUAGAUAUCUAGACUAUUUACAACAAUUCCAUGGUCUUAAAUCAUCACAGAUGGCCCCGGAUUUGAGAGGGUUCAUAUGGAGGGAUUUAAGAGAGCGGAAUAGGAAGACUGUUAUUAAGGAAGUAAUUUUUUAAAAAUUAAUUGAAAUGAGUUGGUAUAUAACAUGGGGUUGAUUUCUGUAUAUCCAUAAGAGAUAAUAAAGCAUAAACAACUAAUACUAAACAUACAAGUAAAAAUAAAAAUAUGAAUAAAAUAUUUAAUAGAGAACAUAUAAUGAUUAUAGGUGAAAAUAAAAACGAUUGGAUGGGAAAAUCAUGAUCUCUUCGUGAUGGGCGUUAGAAAGGGUUGAGGGGUUAGUUAUUACUUGGUUGAGGCAAUGUCACUUUGACUCAAGUCCCAAACCAUUUAAUGUGCACGGCGCGGAAAACCUAGGCCAUGUUUCACAUGUAAAUUUAAGGACCGAAUAAAGUUACAGUACCACAAUCGAAAAGUAAGAUAAGGGUGAUUGCUAUGGGUUUUAGUAAUUAGUCGUUAAGACGUACGCAUGCAGGAUAAAUGAGGGCGAAGAUCUGUGACCAGAAAUCAAAGUUUUAAUUGGAGUCGUCAGGGGCUUAGCGAGAAAAAGAGUAAAAUAAAAAAAAAUGUGCCAGCGUGUGGCAUGAGAGUGCCCUGGAAUAUAUUUAAAAAAAAAUACAAUUUGCACGUAUCCAAGCCAGAAGUAGGGAUAGGUAAGUCUGGGGGACGGUGUGUCAAAAUUGUUAAUUACGAAAUCAAAGUAGGUCAAGUCUAGCCUGCGAAGGAGUUAAAAGUUCCUGCGGAAAAGGGUUAGUAUUUAUUAAGAAGUAACCUUUAAAGUGGUUGUUUAAGAGGUUAUUGAAGAUUGCCCUGUUUUUAGAUCAUGAUUUUUAGUUUGAUGAUAAAAUAAUAUAUCAUUGAGAUAUGAAAUUGCGAAAUUACGGCUUUGCAUAUAGCGUUAAAGGAUUUAAAAAAUCGAAAAUAGAAUUGCGAAGUUAAAUGCAAAGUAAUCUUUAAAAAAAAAGUAAAAAUAGUGAUGAUAUGAUACAAAGAUUAACACACUACAGCAGUAUAUAAGGGGUAAUAGAAAGUGAAAAUAUUAAAUGAAAAAAAAAAUAAGCAGUAAUAUACUCGAUAGCAUUGAACAUGGUAGCGGAAGAUGAAACAAUGUAAAUAACAUAUAAUUUAUAAAGUGAGAGAAAAUAUAAAAUGACAAAUGCAAAUUAGUGAUAUAAACAUGAAAUAUAAACUUGAGAUUAUUAGAUAUGAAAGAUAAAAUAUAAAGUUGAUUAUAGAAUAGAGUCAUAAAGCAAAAGUAAAUAAGUUUUGGUAAAGAAAAAUACAAUAAAAUGACAAUAAUCUAAACUGAUUGGUUGACGUAAAUAAAAAAAAACAAUUAUAAAAGCUAGAUAAUGAUUAUAUAAAGAAUAUUAAAAUGAGAAUUUAAAAAAAAAUGUUCAUCGAGAAAGAAGAGCAAGUAAGAUUAUACAUAGAAAUUAUAUAUCGUGAAAGAAUGGAAAGUUGUAGGCCAAAUAAAUGUAUGUUCCUGUUUUUUAGGAUGGGUGGAGAGAGCUUUAAAUUGUCCUCGAUUGAUAUCUUUGGUCUUGUUGGCCUAAGUUUUUCUAACUUAUCGAAUUUGUUUUAUGUUUGGCGUGACUCGUGGAUCACAUUGAUUCCAACUGUGAAACUCACUGAGUCCUAAUGUUGUCGAUUUUUUGUUCCCUGCGCCACGUUUAGGUGAAAACGUGAUUCUUCCUAAAGCGGCAUUUAUUCUGUUAGUGGACUGAUUUGUUAGUAAAUGUAAACUAACGUGUUAAGCAAGUUAUUAGUAGCUAAACGGGAUAUUGGAGUAGAAUAAUGGGUUAGGGAUUAGAACGAUAUAUAGUAAAAGGUACGCACUAAUAUUUAAUUUAAUAGGUAGCGAAAAAUCCAUUAGAGUGACAUCGGGGUGGCGACGGGCCAUAACAAGAUGUCGGCUGUUUGUUUGCUCGGGGGGCGAGGGGGAGCGAAGCUAUUUUUAAUGCGAUUCUGGAUGUAGGUCAGGGGGGCUCCUUGCGGGGCUGCUUGCUUCUUCCAACUUAUUGGAUUUGUUAAUUCGAACUACGUUCGGAGAUAUUAUUUCUAAAAUUGUAAACGCAAAAGCGUUUUGAUUUGUCACGUUUGGUGACAAGCGUUAUGGGAUUGACAUAGGGAGAUACAGAGGUUGUAAUUAUCCUGUGUGUUCAAGCAUUUGUUCGAUUUGUGUUUGUAUUUCGAAAAUUCGGAUAUUGUAUCUGUUGAUAUUAAAUCGAAUGGUUUUUGGCGGACUUAGUAAAAAUGUUAUUCAUUGAUAUCGGGUUAGAAUUGAAUGAAAUUGCGACUAUCUACGUGGACAAUGUGUGGUUAAAUGUGUCACAGGCGUGAUGAAGGCGUCUUUGGCCUGAGAAGUGAAAGAGUUUUGUGGCGUAGCUCUGUGACACGAAGCGAAAAAAUUGUAAAUGAAAAGGUGUCACGUGAAGUCUUUGUUUUGUACAAAAUCUAACCUGUUUCACUAAGAAUAACAAAUUUACUAAAGUCAUGGGUGCUGGUUGUACGAACAUAUAGCGAGAAUUUUUAUAUUGUUAGUGGAUAUGGCACGUUUAAUGUGAAAAAAAAAAAGAUUGUGUGUGUUUAGUAGGGCGACGUAAUGGAGCUUGUGUGGCUCGAAAUUGGACUUGGGUGUGAAGUCGCGCAUUGAAAAUUGUUGCCAAUUGAAAAAAAGUGAUGUGAUAGGGUGUUGUUUAUUUUGUUGAGAGCGGUUUGUCGAUAUUUAAAUAUGCAUGUAAAAGGAAGGAGUGUAGUUAUGUGGGAAUUUAACGAUUGGAAUAGUUUUGGGAAGCUGUGACUUAGGUUAUUUCUGUCCAAAGCUAUGAAAGAAAAGGACAUAGGGGCGUUGAAAAUGGGAUUAAGAAUAUUACAAUAAGACCGAAUAAGAGCGUUGGAGUUCACCACGUGUGAGCAACUCGUUCCAGGGGGGGAAAAUUUAGUAAAUGGGACAGUUGUAUUAACCUGUCCAUGGGACACGUGUUGCUUGCACGAGGUGAAUUGGUACAAGGUAGUUGGUAGAGGUACAUUAUCUUCAUACAGGAGUAGCUGAGGACAGUUUAUAAUUAGUAGAAAUCGUUUUAUGGAAUUAAGGAAUAAAAUGCCAAAAGGAAAAGGUGUAUCGAUGAUAUGGAAUUUUAGAUUCCGCGUUAUGUUACUUAUUUUUAAAAUCAAAAAGAUAUAAUCUAUGAUGAAAAUAUUGUUAGCUAUGGCAUUAAUAGUUAAGUUAAAUGGGUGGACAGGUAUUUUUCUUUUACAAACUGAUUUCUUAUUUUUUAAAAGUAUUCUGCCUAAUUAUAUCGAUAGAUGCUCCUGUAUUAAAUAGUAGAGGUAGGUUUACAUUAUUGGACAGUUCAGCUCGAACGAACAAUUGUUCAACAAAAAUUAUGUAUGGAGGAACCUACUAUGGUGCUGUCUUGUAUGUCGGGACAGUCCUGGUCUUGUGCCGUGGUUGGAGGUUCCUUGGGACAGUCAGAGUUCAUUGUUUGCGCUGGGCUCGUGGUUUAGAGAUGGUCGGGGGAGCAGGUAACCUACGCUCGCGUGUUGGUAACUCGGAGGGGCGCUUGCAGGAGGUUUGCUGGCUUUCUCAGUCUUGUAGAGUAUUGUAGUUGGGCCCGAUCUGCUUGGGCGUCGUAGUUGGUGAAGCAGCUCGGCGCCUCGUACGAACCAUCGUAGCGCGGUAGCUUCACAUCUCGCGAUAGUCCUGUCGCCGAGGAGAGCUGAUAUAUCGUCCUGGCUAAACUCCCCAGGACAUCUGACACCGGCGGCGGGGGCGUGACGUCUUCCUGGCCGGGGGCGAUUUCCUCCGUUCUACCGAGAGUGUUUUCUUUCUUUGGAAAAGUGGUGUUUUCGCCACUUUCGGAGUCGGGAUCGGACUCCAUUGGUUCCUUUGGAUUCUCCUCUCUUCCCUGUUCCAUCUUUCUGUACAGACAGUGGUCUACUUGCUUACUUGUACCUUGGCGUCCACAAUCCUGUCGACUCUUCGGACGGGGGAGUCUGUGAUAUCUUGGGACCUCUGGGACCAGUGUUACCUGAUGCUAGACGAACCUCGAUGUCAACUCUACCGUGCAGUCGUGGUGGAAGGCGACACAGCUGGGCCAAAGGUGAAAUAAACAAACAGAGAUUCCACUAAAAAGCGUCUGACGUCAAGAAGGAAUGGGAUGAGCGGAGAGGGAGAUCUUUAGAGCAAGUGUUACCUUGGUGAGAUCCAAGCGCAUACUGCCUAACCUAGGUUCUCGAUUUAACACCAAGACCUUUCUUCUUUCUGAUUGGUUGACCUAUUUAGGUGAUUCUUUCCUAAUUGGUGGGACUAUGUCACGUGGCCGUUGGCUAUUGGUUGACCUACUUAGGUGAUUCUCUUCUAAUUGGUCUUUGCUGCUGCCUUUGACGGAAGAUAUAUCCGGCCUGGUCAGGAAGUAUUGGGUGUCUCUCAACUUUUAUAACUUCUGCGUUCACCAGAUACGUCCGGUCCUGUCAGGAAAUAUUGGCUUAAACUUAGCUCGCAGGGUUUCCGGGGUCAGAAGGUUAACUGUGACUUUAUUAAUAACUAUGUUCUCUUCUAGAUCUACUUCCUAGGUCUUACUUCUACUCUCUCCUAAGCCUGAUUAGUUUUAACCUUAAUUUUCUCCUGUUAGUCUCCAUUCCUUCUAUCUGUACAGUUGUUAUACUUUAUUAGAUUCUUACGCGGUACAGAUUGAUGUUAGUUGAGGCUUUCUAUGUGCAGUACAUAAGAAGUUAUAUACAGUCAUGGGGUGGAACAUGUGGUAGUAGAUAUCUAGACUAUUUACAACAAUUCCAUGGUCUUAAAUCAUCACAUAUAUAUAUAUUACUAUUAUUUAUUUUGUAGUUAAACAUUGUAAAAUUACUUUACUUUCUUGCAUAUUGCUUCUCUGCUUAGCAUUUAGCUAAGUUCUUGCAAUAUUUCUCUCUCUUGUUUAUUAACAUAUAUAUAUAUAUAUAUAUAUCAAUAUAUAUAUAUAUAUUACUCUUAUCUAUUUUGUAGUUAAACACUACAAAAUUACUUUAUUCUCUUGCAUAUUGCUUUUCUGCCCAGCAUUUAGCUAAGUUCUUGCAAUAUUCCUAUUCGCUGGUAUAUAUAUAUAUUAUUUGUUCACGUUUCGAUAUUUGUACAUAUACUCGAGCGCUGUUCAAAAAAUUUUUAUUUUUCGCAAAUUUGUGGCAUUUGAAUCCAAUUUUUCUAGCUUGAAAUUCUGGAGGCCCUUUACACUUCAAUUUUAUUUUACUGGAAGCCUUACAAUCUGCAAAUUCCUUUAGAAUUUUGAACCUCAAGUGUAAAACUCUAAUUUCAAAACACCUGAAAGUUGAACAAGGCCUUGAGCAAGCGAUUUCUAUACACUAUUUAAUUGAAACUCUUUUGAAACUCUCCCUACUUCGAGUAGAAGCUAACUUGUUCGAAAAACGACCGCUCUCAAAGUGGUGCAAUGUUUUCGCAAACUAAUUACUUCUCCAUGAUUGCCAACCCCACCUCAUGCCCUUAUGCAUCUACACCAUAUUAUGGCCCUACUACGGACCCAAUCUCCAGCCUGAUUGCUUCCAUCCGAGAGCCAUCCAGGGGUACUGUCGUUUAUGGGACCAAAGUCGCAACACCAUCCCAUACAUCGUCUUUGGACAAUAUUCUCUCGGGCCUCCCCGAGUUUGCCCAUCUGAACCCGAAUUUUGCGAGGUCUUCAAAACCGCUGAAUCAUUACGAUUCACCUUGCGAAUAUCCUCCAGUCAUGCCACCAAAGCAUCCAGCAGACACCUUCACCUCAGAACUUCCAGAUUUGCCCCUAGAUGAAGACGACUAUCUGGAGUUGGAAGAGGAGGACAACGCGCCACCAUCUUCACCUGAUUCUGAAAUCCAGGCCCCUCAAGAACCAAGCCCCAAGCUGGAAAGAGAGACACCUCUCCCAGAGGCACAAGAUGCCACCUCAGGAACGACCACCAGGGACCCUGCCCCUACUGACUCCCUGGAGAACGGGAGCAAGGCACCAGCUGCACCCAUAAGUACAUUGGGUGUCCUCACUCAUGAUCCUGGCGGCCCCUCUUCAGGGACCAUUUACCCAGAGGACCAGCAAGCACGAAAUGAAGCCCCACUCUGCUGGAACCAGUUUCAAGACCCUGCCUCCCCGCCGCCCCCCCCCCCCCCCCAGUAGGAAAGAAUGAGGCACCAGCUACCCCUAGAGCUAUAUCAGAUGUCCUCACUCAUGAUCCCGGCGGCCCCUCUUCAUGGACCAUUAACCCAGUGGACCAGCAAGCACAAAAUGGAGUCCCAUCCUACAGGAACCAUGUAUUGAUUCAAGAUCCUGCUUCCCCACCAGGCCCCCCAAUAGAAAAGAAUGAGGCACCAGCUACACCUAGAACUAUACCAGGUGUCCUCAUUCAUGAUCCCGGGGGCCCCCCUUUGAGGACCUAUAUUUAUGAGAACCAGAAGAUAUUAGAUGGAACUCCACCCCAAGGAUCCCGGUCUCGGGGCCCCCCUGCCCCGACCGACCCCCUAGGAGACAAGAGCGAGGCACCAGCUCCGGCUAGAAGUGAACCAGGACGCCUCGUUCAUGAUCCCGGGGGCUCUUCUCCAAGUACCUGCAGACCUAUUGACCAAACAGGUCUAGGAGGAUCGCCACCCUACCGGAACCGAACCCAAGACUGCCCUGCCCCUGAGGACCACCACUGUAAAUACUUUUGGACCCAGGAAAGGAGACGGACCAGAGACCGGAAGGAGCAACGGAGAGAAGCCGCAGUCCCCAGGCACCGAAAGUGGAGGACCCCGCCCUGGCCCUUUUUGAGAAAGUGGACCCUCCCCCCUUGGCCAGGAACCCUGUACCUCAAAGCCUAGACUGCUUGACCAUUUUACUAUACCAAACUAGCACUGGCAAGCAUUUUCUAGCUUCUCUUCGACAAUCUCUUGUAAUUUUUUAAGAUGCUUUCAAUAAAGUUUUUUAAUUCUGUUCUUAUCAGCUUAAUUAAUAAUUAAUGGCAUAGCAUUUAAGGUCUGUGAUGGACAAAUUGUAGAUGCCAAUGGACAUUCAUUGUAGCAAGCAGAUAGGAAACAAUCACUUGUAAAUAGUCAACCCAACGAUACCUUUUCACUGACCUGCUGGCAGAGACUACCAAUAGAUCAUCCAAUCUUGCCGCCAAAUAGGAAAACCCGAAAUACAUGCUCAGCUAAUCAUCGCCACUCAAAUUACCCUACAAAUAAACCUGUAAAAGCAAAAGGUAAUCCCCUAAGGAUCAUAUACUGGAACAUAAAUGGAUUUUUUAGAAUUUCUUCGGUCUUCUCUCUCUUCGAUUACUUGAAAUUGUUUGAUAUUUUUGCUGUAACUGAAACCUGGUGCCACUAUUUACUUGACCUAGCUGUAGAAGAUUUUGAGUUUUACCAAUCACCAGCUGUUAAACCUUCGAAUCAAGGGAGAAGCUCUGGAGGAAUCCUUGUAGGAAUUAGAAAAGAAAUCCAAGGCUUAAUCUACAAAGUUGAAAUUGAGCCUAAAUGGAUCUCGGUUAUAUUUAAACUGGCUUCAAUAGCGGACUCACCCCUAGUGUGUGCAAUUUUUGUUUACUUACCCCCAAGCGAACUACAGCUAGAAAAUCUAAAAAAAUUGUUUUGCUAUGUUGAAAAUAAAAUGCAACAUGGAUUCGAAAUAGUUUUAGGCGGUGAUUCAAAUAUUCGCAUUGGCUACUUGGGUGCUUUCCACAACUUGUUCCAGAUCCCAGCUAUGCUUUCCGUCUAUACCGUACCUCCAGAGAUCCAACCGUGUCCCCCCUGGCUGAGACUCUUGUCGAUUUCCUUGAUGAUAACUCCCUCACUAUACUAAACGGAAGAUCUAUUAGUGAUAAAAACGGAUGCUAUACUUUUAUCUCACAUCAGGGGUCUUCAGUUUUGGACUUAUUCAUGGUUUCUCCUGCACUACUGGAACUUGUUCUUGACCUAAGUAUAGAAAGUUUGCCUUACUCCGAUCAUUUGCCACUUCUUCUAAAACUAAACGGAUCAGACAAUACAAAAGCGAAAAGCCUACCUCUAGAGCAUACUCCUGUAAAAAAAUUUACCUGGUCAAUAAAUAAAGCUUCGACAUAUGAACUUUGUCUCGAAGACCUAAAUGCUCUCCAACUACCGGAAGACGCCUCAAUGGACCUAUGUGCUGACACUCUUACUAGCAGGAUUCAAACAUCAAUGAUGAGAGCAGGAAUGCUAACAAAGGGAAGAGCGGAUAGUUCGCGGUCUAAGCUAUGGUUUGACGGAGAAUGUUAUACAGC
This is a non-coding RNA of Cordylochernes scorpioides, 13013 nucleotides long. NCBI's taxonomy places the organism in Eukaryota, Metazoa, Arthropoda, Arachnida, Pseudoscorpiones, Chernetidae. The record is from the annotation of a GenBank genome assembly.